GGGUACAGGGAAGUGCUAAUUCUAUCCAUUCUCUAUACACCGCUUUAUCCUCACUAGGGUCAUGGGGGGUGCUGGAGUCUAUCCCAGCUGACUCAGGCGAAGGCAGGGGACACCUUGGACAGGUCACCAGUCUGUCACAGGGCUGAAAUACUAAUUCUAAGAGUUGAAAUGGUUCCUGCUGAUUUCUGUCAUCUGAAAAUCAGUUUCAGUCCAAGAAUCUACCAGGACUGGUAAAAGGAGUCAUAGUACCAUUGAUCAGGAGGUCUAGAAGGAGUCAUAGUUCCACUAAUCAGGAGGUCUAGAAGGAGUCAUAGUACCACUAAUCAGGAGGUCUAGAAGGAGUCAUAGUACCACUAAUCAGGAGGUCUAGAAGGAGUCAUAGUUCCACUAAUCAGGAGGUCUAGAAGGAGUCAUAGUUCCACUAAUCAGGAGGUCUAGAAGGAGUCAUAGUACCACUAAUUAUGAGGUCUAGAAGGAGUCAUAGCUCCACUAAUCAGGAGGUCUAGAAGGAGUCAUAGUACCACUAAUUAUGAGGUCUAGAAGGAGUCAUAGCUCCACUAAUCAGGAGGUCUAGAAGGAGUCAUAGCUCCACUAAUCAGGAGGUCUAGAAGGAGUC
This is a long non-coding RNA of Acanthochromis polyacanthus (spiny chromis), 616 nucleotides long. RefSeq lists it as uncharacterized. The record is from RefSeq and is a predicted model, not a curated record. The transcript is spliced from 3 exons. NCBI's taxonomy places the organism in Eukaryota, Metazoa, Chordata, Actinopteri, Pomacentridae.